RNAcentral lists this ribosomal RNA (493 nucleotides) under uncultured bacterium. RNAcentral describes it as "bacterial SSU rRNA". It matches the Rfam family "Bacterial small subunit ribosomal RNA", at positions 1037 to 1529 of the family's 1533-position model. The record is from RNAcentral.
GGUGGUGCAUGGUUGUCGUCAGCUCGUGUCGUGAGAUGUUGGGUUAAGUCCCGCAACGAGCGCAACCCUUAAGCUUAGUUGCCAGCAUUAAGUUGGGCACUCUAAGUUGACUGCCGGUGACAAACCGGAGGAAGGUGGGGAUGACGUCAAAUCAUCAUGCCCCUUAUGAUUUGGGCUACACACGUGCUACAAUGGACAAUACAAAGGGCAGCUAAACCGCGAGGUCAUGCAAAUCCCAUAAAGUUGUUCUCAGUUCGGAUUGUAGUCUGCAACUCGACUACAUGAAGCUGGAAUCGCUAGUAAUCGUAGAUCAGCAUGCUACGGUGAAUACGUUCCCGGGUCUUGUACACACCGCCCGUCACACCACGAGAGUUUGUAACACCCGAAGCCGGUGGAGUAACCAUUUAUGGAGCUAGCCGUCGAAGAUGGGACAAAUGAUUGGGGUGAAGUCGUAACAAGGUAGCCGUAUCGGAAGGUGCGGUUGGAUCACCUC